Bifiguratus adelaidae is the source of this 72-nucleotide non-coding RNA. Lineage: Eukaryota; Fungi; Mucoromycota; Endogonomycetes; Endogonales. The record is from the annotation of a GenBank genome assembly.
UUCCCGUUAGUCAAGUGGUUAUGAUAUUCGGCUUUCACCCGAAAGGCCCGGGUUCAAUUCCCGGACGGGAAA